Molecule: ribosomal RNA, 253 nt
Filed under: uncultured bacterium
Lineage: Bacteria
Description: partial 16S ribosomal RNA
Rfam family: Bacterial small subunit ribosomal RNA
Source: RNAcentral
UACGUAGGGAGCAAGCGUUGUCCGGAAUCAUUGGGCGUAAAGCGCGCGUAGGUGGCCUCAUAAGUCCGCUGUGAAAGUCAAAGGCUCAACCUUUGAAAGCCGGUGGAUACUGUGAGGCUAGAGUACGGAAGAGGCGAGUGGAAUUCCCGGUGUAGCGGUGAAAUGCGCAGAUAUCGGGAGGAACACCAGUAGCGAAGGCGGCUCGCUGGGCCAUUCCUGACGCUGAGACGCGAAAGCUAGGGGAGCGAACAGG